GUCUACAGCCAUACCACCUUAAAUGUGCCCAAACUCAUCUCAUCCCAGAAGCUAAGCAGAGUCAGUCCUCAUUGGUACUUGGAUGGGAGAACAGAAGAAAGGAAAAUGUUCCCA
Molecule: ribosomal RNA, 114 nt
Organism: Panthera pardus (leopard)
Lineage: Eukaryota; Metazoa; Chordata; Mammalia; Carnivora; Felidae
Source: Ensembl